GACGAACCGUGCGAACGUUAUUCGGAAUCACUGGGCUUAAAGAGCGUGUAGGCGGUCCGGUAAGUCAGCUGUGAAAGUCAAGGGCUCAACCCUUGAAAGCCGGUUGAUACUGUCGGGCUAGAGUCCGGAAGAGGCGAGUGGAAUUCCCGGUGUAGCGGUGAAAUGCGCAGAUAUCGGGAGGAACACCAAUGGCGAAGGCAGCUCGCUGGGACGGUACUGACGCUGAGACGCGAAAGCGUGGGGAGCAAACAGG
This 253-nucleotide ribosomal RNA is filed under the name uncultured bacterium. RNAcentral describes it as "partial 16S ribosomal RNA". It matches the Rfam family "Bacterial small subunit ribosomal RNA", at positions 524 to 776 of the family's 1533-position model. The record is from RNAcentral.